RNAcentral lists this long non-coding RNA (310 nucleotides) under Panax ginseng (ginseng). RNAcentral's name for it is "long non-coding RNA (PGIN_LNC005885)". The record is from RNAcentral. Lineage: Eukaryota; Viridiplantae; Streptophyta; Magnoliopsida; Apiales; Araliaceae.
CCCCAUCAAAACCAAUCUUUGUAUCUAGAUCACCAUUGCUCUUUACCACAACAAGCUUGUCCAAAACUUUCAUAAGGUAGGACAAAGAUUUCAUCACGUGCAGUCUUGCUGUCUUCAAUAGGUUGAGCUGCCUCUCUUCCAUACAUUUUUGGAAAAAACAACUUCAUAAAAAUAUUCCCAUAUGAAAGCAAAACAAUGUAAUAGGACAUUUGGUUUAAAACGACUUUCUAAAGGUAAGUCAACAAACUUUACAAAAUCACAACAUGUUAUCUACACAGUAGCCAUCUAAAUUCAAUUAUGUUCUUUUUCU